CCGCAUUGAAGAGAAGAGUUAUGUGGAUCUCACCGACAAUUGUACAUAAGCUACAUGACUCAUAUGCGUGUCAUAUUUUAUGGUGCAGUGUGUCCAUCCUACGUGGCAUCUCUUCACGAUCAAAUUUGUUUGGGCUUAGUUCGCGGUCAAGCCGAGAGCACAAAAGCUGGUCAAGUUGACCCAGGUGGUGCGUGAAAGGCAUGGACAAGGGUUAACAUGUGAAUCCCACACAAAGAAACAGUUGCAAAUUGAGUGGAUAGUCACCAUUUUGAAGAGUAUGUGUGGACAUGGUGCAUUCCCCCUUGAAAGCUGCGAGAGAGACAUUGAGUUUUUUUUUUUUUAUGUAACCCUUAUCUAUUCAGAAUGAUUCCAUUCAUGGUAGUUAUUCGUUUGUAUUCAUCACAUCCAUCACAUCGAGAUAUGUGACUAUAGAUUCAUACAAUACAAUCCUGGUUGAGUUUGAGAGAAUUCUUACCAAUUCUUACCAAAUUCCCAGAUAUGAAUGGUUGAAUUGGAUUAACUUUGGAGUGUAAUUUCAUGUGUGAAAGCGACCUGAAUCGAUCUGAUAACAUUUGCAUUGAAUUGGAUUGGAUUAGGUUUAUGAAAUUCAAUUUAUGUCUGACUAAUCAACUUGAUUGCAUUCAGACAUCAUUUGACAAAUGAAAAAACAAAGAAAUAUCUUGUUUUACACAACUUUCUUAUGGUAUAUGGUUCGUGUAAGAAAAGGCAACAAUGUAUAUAUAUUGUAUACAUUUGUAGUGGUAGUUGUAAUCUUAAACGUGUCAGACUUCUGGUAUGGAAAGAAUUUAACUUUUUUCAAGUCUCCAUGUUUUUAAGAUAAACCCUAAACCUUUUGAAUUAUUAUAUGGUAUGGUUAUAGUUAUAGAUUAUGAUAGUUAGUUCUAGAAGAUUCCUGUGCAAAUUAUUGUAGAAUGGUGAUGUGCUAAUAAAAUUGAGAGUUUUAAGAUCCUAAGCUCAUGAAAACUGUUUUGUUGUAGAAGUUCACAAUCACAACACGCCUGGCACAGGGAAAUUUCUUCCAAUCUGUGAUGAUGAUUGUAGAAAAUUGGAUAUUCUCUUUUGUACCUUUUGGAUCCUUCCCUUUGACCCCACUUCUUCAAAGCAUAUUUUGGAUCUGAACUCAUGUAAGGUUGUUCAGUUUCUAGGGUUUAUUUUUCCUUUUGUUUUCUUCCUUCCUUGGCCAUGGAUUUGCCACUUCUUACAUUAAAUUACCACAUCUUACUCAUUCUGUGAUUUAAAAUUUUCAUUUGGUUACAUUAGGUUUGAUUAUUAUAAUCAUCAUUAGGUAUAACCUGAUAUCACUAUUUUGUUCCCUUUUCUUGUCUAUCAGGAUAUCAAAAAAUCAUUGAAAAUUUUC
Molecule: long non-coding RNA, 1378 nt
Organism: Vigna unguiculata (cowpea)
Lineage: Eukaryota; Viridiplantae; Streptophyta; Magnoliopsida; Fabales; Fabaceae
Source: RefSeq, a predicted model, not a curated record